UACAGAGGGUGCAAGCGUUUAAUCGGAAUUACUGGGCGUAAAGCGUGCGUAGACGGUUAUUUAAGUCAGGUGUGAAAGCCCAGGGCUCAACCUUGGAAUUGCAUUUGAGACUGAAUAGCUAGGGUGCGGAAGAGGGAAGCGGAAUUUCCGGUGUAGCGGUGAAAUGCGUAGAUAUCGGAAGGAACACCAGUGGCGAAAGCGGCUUCCUGGUCCAGCACCGACGUCAGGCACGAAAGCGUGGGGAGCAAACAGG
Molecule: ribosomal RNA, 253 nt
Filed under: uncultured bacterium
Lineage: Bacteria
Description: partial 16S ribosomal RNA
Rfam family: Bacterial small subunit ribosomal RNA
Source: RNAcentral